This 616-nucleotide long non-coding RNA is filed under the name Parus major (Great Tit). RNAcentral's name for it is "lncRNA (ENSPMJG00000008723.1)". Lineage: Eukaryota; Metazoa; Chordata; Aves; Passeriformes; Paridae. The record is from RNAcentral.
AUGCAAGGCACUAAGCAAAACCGUAUCUUGCGGAAAUUGCUGCACACAGGAAAAACCGCAGACAAUUUAGAAAGCUUUGGCACACAGCUCAGUUCAGUGUCUGAAAGGGAAUGGGAUAGGCUUAGUGGGGCUGAAGAGGAAGCAGAAGAGCUAUGGCAAGCUCAUGGUCUAAAAAGAGACAGGGAAUUAACAUGUUUUAGAGGUGGAGGACCCUAAUAGCAGCUCUGCAAAUACAAUUGUUUAUGUAACGAAUGCCAAAUUUAAAGAAAAAUGGCAGAAGACUUUGGUAGACUUCAUCAGUAUUAGUAAGUCAUUAAGGAUACGUAGCUCCAGUAUUGCAUAAAUUUGUGCAAUAUGCUUAAUAAGAGAGCUCAGGGAAAAGGUCUGAAUGCAGAAUCUCAGCCUGUGGUGUAGUGUGAGCUGGAUUAUGUCUUGCAGGAAACUUUCCUUCACUGAAGAUACUGCUAUAGACUGCUAAGCACAUGUUUCCACCCAAAACAAAGGCAGCUUAGGAAUUUGAGUAUUGUGGGAAGACUGGCUUUGUCUGGGUAUUAUUUUAUGAAAGAAAUAUGUGUGAGUAGAUGAGAGGCAGUUCAGGUGGGGAAGGAAGAGAGAG